GACGAACGCUGGCGGCGUGCCUAAUACAUGCAAGUAGAACGCUGAAGAGAGGAGCUUGCUCUUCUUGGAUGAGUUGCGAACGGGUGAGUAACGCGUAGGUAUCCUGCCUUGUAGCGGGGGAUAACUAUUGGAAACGAUAGCUAAUACCGCAUAACAAUGGAUGACACAUGUCAUUUAUUUGAAAGGGGCAAUUGCUCCACUACAAGACGGACCUGCGUUGUAUUAGCUAGUAGGUGAGGUAAUGGCUCACCUAGGCGACGAAACAUAGCCGACCUGAGAGGGUGGUCGGCCACCCUGGGACGGAGACAGGGCCCAGACUCCUACGGGGAGGAGCCGUAGGGAAUCUUCGGGAAGGGGGGCAAACCUGACCGAGCAACGCCGCGGGAGUGAAGAAGGUUGUCGGAUCGGAAAGCUCUGUUGUAAGUCAAGAACGGGUGUGAGAGUGGAAAGUUCACACUGUGACGGUAGCUUACCAGAAAGGGACGGCUAACUACGUG
Molecule: ribosomal RNA, 497 nt
Filed under: uncultured bacterium
Lineage: Bacteria
Description: partial 16S ribosomal RNA
Rfam family: Bacterial small subunit ribosomal RNA
Source: RNAcentral